This 1342-nucleotide ribosomal RNA is filed under the name uncultured bacterium. RNAcentral's name for it is "bacterial SSU rRNA". It matches the Rfam family "Bacterial small subunit ribosomal RNA", at positions 28 to 1381 of the family's 1533-position model. The record is from RNAcentral.
GAUGAACGCUGGCGGCGUGCUUAACACAUGCAAGUCGAACGGUGAAGCAGAGCUUGCUCUGUGGAUCAGUGGCGAACGGGUGAGUAACACGUGAGCAAUCUGCCCCGGACUCUGGGAUAACAGUUGGAAACAGCUGCUAAUACCGGAUAUGAGACGUGACCGCAUGGUCGACGUUUGGAAAGAAUUUCGGUUCGGGAUGAGCUCGCGGCCUAUCAGCUUGUUGGUGAGGUAAUGGCUCACCAAGGCGUCGACGGGUAGCCGGCCUGAGAGGGUGACCGGCCACACUGGGACUGAGACACGGCCCAGACUCCUACGGGAGGCAGCAGUGGGGAAUAUUGCACAAUGGGCGGAAGCCUGAUGCAGCAACGCCGCGUGAGGGAUGACGGCCUUCGGGUUGUAAACCUCUUUUAGCAGGGAAGAAGCGAAAGUGACGGUACCUGCAGAAAAAGCGCCGGCUAACUACGUGCCAGCAGCCGCGGUAAUACGUAGGGCGCAAGCGUUAUCCGGAAUUAUUGGGCGUAAAGAGCUCGUAGGCGGUUUGUCGCGUCUGCUGUGAAAACCCGAGGCUCAACCUCGGGCCUGCAGUGGGUACGGGCAGACUAGAGUGCGGUAGGGGAGAUUGGAACUCCUGGUGUAGCGGUGGAAUGCGCAGAUAUCAGGAAGAACACCGAUGGCGAAGGCAGAUCUCUGGGCCGUAACUGACGCUGAGGAGCGAAAGGGUGGGGAGCAAACAGGCUUAGAUACCCUGGUAGUCCACCCCGUAAACGUUGGGAACUAGUUGUGGGGUCCAUUCCACGGAUUCCGUGACGCAGCUAACGCAUUAAGUUCCCCGCCUGGGGAGUACGGCCGCAAGGCUAAAACUCAAAGGAAUUGACGGGGACCCGCACAAGCGGCGGAGCAUGCGGAUUAAUUCGAUGCAACGCGAAGAACCUUACCAAGGCUUGACAUAUACGAGAACGGGCCAGAAAUGGUCAACUCUUUGGACACUCGUAAACAGGUGGUGCAUGGUUGUCGUCAGCUCGUGUCGUGAGAUGUUGGGUUAAGUCCCGCAACGAGCGCAACCCUCGUUCUAUGUUGCCAGCACGUAAUGGUGGGAACUCAUGGGAUACUGCCGGGGUCAACUCGGAGGAAGGUGGGGAUGACGUCAAAUCAUCAUGCCCCUUAUGUCUUGGGCUUCACGCAUGCUACAAUGGCCGGUACAAAGGGCUGCAAUACCGUGAGGUGGAGCGAAUCCCAAAAAGCCGGUCCCAGUUCGGAUUGAGGUCUGCAACUCGACCUCAUGAAGUCGGAGUCGCUAGUAAUCGCAGAUCAGCAACGCUGCGGUGAAUACGUUCCCGGGUCU